AGUUUGGAGGCUGUUAAUCAACACUCCAUCCAGACAAGUACAUAGAGCAGAAGAUAGAAGCCAGCUACUUCCUGCUGGAGAGUAAGGGUGAAGGUGAGGGCUGAGUCAGAUAUGUUAGAGGCUGAUGGCUGAUGUGUCUAGUGGUGGUGGUGGUGGUGGUGGUACCAGCACUAAUGACCUGUGACAUGGUCUAUCAUUAGACCGACAGUGUGUCCAACACCAGACCAGCAAAUCAAUACUAAACCAGCAGGCAAGGGUAGAGGUGGAGACAAAGUCUUACCAACAUGGACAAUAUAGAUAUCUGAUAAUCAGUAUUGAGGUAAAACAAACUAUACAGCACAAUUCUAAUACAUAAUAGAGGUGAAUGUCCCGAUACCCUAAGUCCAUAAUGAAUGUACAGCAUGAUACACAGAAAAGAAACAACCGAGGUAUAUUAUGAGAUCAGAUGCAGGUGCUCAACAUAACAUUUGUACUUCAUACCAUUCUGGAAUGUUGUGAUCCAAUGUGAAUCAAUAGGAAGGAUACAACAAAACCAAUUUUGAGUUCCUCACUCUCCCUUUUCUCAAAUUAAGUUGAAUGUCAGAAGACCUUACCUUGUUUUUGAAACGCAAAUUUUUAUUCAUUUGGGUGUGCUGAUGUUAUGCAUAGUUAACCAAUUAACCAAGUACACCUUAUGUUUGAUAAAACAAAAAGAAACAUAUGAUCAAUGCGCUAUACUCAUUCCCAGAUCAGUGUCUUGAAUAAGGGAUCACAUGGUUUGAUUUUUGAUACCGAGGUAUUUGUGUACGAUACUGUACAAUGGGUAAUUUUCAUAGUAGUGUUAUAUUAAUGUUUUUUGCAGAAGGAUUCAAUUAUGAAUUCAACAAUGUAGCAACGAUUCCCAUUUCAGACAUUCGAAUCUUGUUGGACACCAAAGACAAACAGAAAUAGAAAGUAUAUAACAUAUAUACAGUUUGAUUGACAAAUUUCCUCAUGAAUUAAAUGGCAACUGAAAUUGCUUUUCAUUUACGCUAUAAUCAGAGUUUACUGUUAAAAUGUUGAUACCAACACAUCAAAAUAAUUCAGUUUUAAAAUACAACAGCAGUAUUUCAGUAUAGUAAACAAAGUGUCUGUGAAUCAUACAUGUGGGGCCCCCACCUUCCUUUUCACUUUGAUGGAAAUGGAGCGGAGCACAAAAUCUAAAUCACAGAAAUGGAACUUCAGGUAAAGUCUAAGCAAAUCUAGUAAAUUAGGAAAUUGAGGUCACAGUGACCUACAUAUCACAUAUUUGUGCAGCAGGAUGUAGUUACCUAUGCCAUUUGAUGACUGUUGGGACUGUUAGUAUUGGAGUAAUGGAACUUAGCACCAAGUCUAAUACCAAUGUUGUAUGGUCUGAGGAAGUGAUUAAUGUCCUGAUCACUUCUUUAUGGGGCAUUAAAACGGGUCUCAAACAGUGACGAUCCUUUACCUUUCUGUUGUCAAUUACUGACACAUAAAGUCCUCAUUCAUGACACAUGCAUAGCCAACACUCAAAAUCAAUGAUGUUAUUUAACUCCAAUAGGGAAUAGACUAUCGAGACCUGAGGCACAUUAAGUUUGAUAUCAAUGUAAUAUUUAUACUAACCCCUAAACCCACCAACAAGAUCCCACACCAGUAUUACAUUGCAGGUGUUCGAUGAGCCAUCUAUUCAAAAUUGUAUAACUAUCACCAAGAUAAGGUUUUAGAUUAUAUCAUUUCAAUCUGGAGCUGUCAAAUACAAGUCUGAUAAAGCCAAAACGGGCACAGUGAUGAGACAAAACUAUACUAAAUUACAGUACAUCUGUGUGACAGUGUCAGCCACCUCCCUACCCGGCUCUACUCAGUAAAUCAAUAUUAACUGAUCAGGUUAUGAAUUCAGCUCUGUAAUGAGACCUCCACUUCUCUACAAUCACACCAUUACAUCACAAUGUAUCCAACAAGCUAUUAUCACACAAUUUAUUCCAAUAGUUGUUAGCUGCGUUGUAUGAAAUCCAUCCUCUCCCCCUCCGAACUUACAACAGCUAUAUCCUAGAUCUAGAGUUCUAUAAACUAUUCCUUACAAAGCUAGUAAAGAUCACCCUCCUUCCUUUCAAUUUUGCACUGAAUUUUGAAGGGACAAAAUGUACAUGUGUCAAAAUAAAAAUCUCUCCUCCAUUAACACCAGCUGUGACCAGCUAAUUACAAAAUGAGGUAUCAAAUGAGCUGAUAACGAGGACUGCUCACUACAGAAAUACCACAAACAGGAAACAGGAAGGUGGUAACCAUCCCCAGGAAGACGAAGCGGUAAUGUAUUAGAAGGAAGAUCCUGUGUAUAGACAGGAAAGGUCACUCAAAGGUAGUAUGUGCACACAGCAACAUAGAUACUGGCCAAUGAAAACACAAUCGGUGAUGUAAGUCUAGGUGCUGGUGAAGAGAUCUUAUACUAACGGCUACAGAGCAGGUGUAAAGCAAUGAGAUAUCCACCAGCAGAAAGAAGCAUAAAAAACACAUAAAAGAAACAAGCAACAAUGUAUGCAAAGCUAGGUGACUACUAAGUAAAAGGACGAAACACCAAACACAAUGUAUGCAGAGCUAGGUCGCAGUCUUUAACUUUAUUGCAGAGCAAGUUAGUGGUGUAAUACUGGAAAGGACACCAAACACAAUGUAUGCAGAGCUAGGUCGCAGUCUUUAACUGUAUUGCAGAGCAAUUUAGUGGUGUUAUACUGGAACUGACACAAAACACAAUGUAUGCAGAGCUAGGUCGCAGUCGUUAACUGUAUUGCAGAGCAAGUUAGUGGGGUUAUACUGGAACUGACACCAAACACAAUGUAUACAGAGCUAGGUCGCAGUCUUUAACUGUAAUGUAGAGCAAGUUAGUGGUGUUAUACUGGAACUGACACCAAACACAAUGUAAGCAGAGCUAGGUCGCAGUCUGUAACUGUAUUGUAAAGCAAGUUAGUGGUGUUGUACAGGAAAGGACACCAAACACAAUGUAUGCAGAGCUAGGUCGCAGUCUUUAACUGUAUUGCAGAGCAAGUUAGUGGUGUUAUACUGGAAAGGACACCAAACACAAUGUAUGCAGAGCUAGGUGCAGUCUUUAACUGUAUUGUAGAGCAAGUUAGUGGUGUUAUACUGGAACUGACACCAAACACAAUGUAUGCAUAGCAUGGUAACCAGAAUAGACACCAAGAACCAUGUAUACAAAGUAGGAUAUAUGCAUUAAACAAGAAAAGAUGUCUAUUGGUAAUGUAUGUAAAAAUAGUUGCUGACCCAAUUCCUGAGAACUAACAGGUAGGAUACUUUCCCGAGAACUAACAGGUAAAAUACUUCCUUUAUUUCAGACAAAUUUUCACAACUUUACGAAUAAUUGAAAUGUUUAGAUUAACCGAACACGAAGAAAAUUUGUAAUGGGUAGGAUACAUUCCUAAGAACUAACUGACAUAGCAGCACAACUUGAAUCCACUUACUCAGGAUUUGUUUGCUAUGUUGAUUUUUUAUACGGUGCCAAAAAUAGCCCACCAUCGAGUUGAAAUUUGUGCACAAGUAACAUUACAGACCUUUAGACACGAGAUAAAACUUGGCAUGCAUGAGCUGCUAUAACAAGGUAAUUGGGAUCCCUACACAUUACCAGCCUUAUCUACCGGCUUACAACACAUAUCUUCCUCAAGGCUCCAGAUCAAAUCUCUGUUCCCUGAAUAUUCAAAAUCCUUCUAGAUACUCAUCUUUUUUUAUACCAAUAUUUUGAAUCCAAAUUUAUCGUAGCAUCUGUGGGCAAUCAUCAAAUGUUUAUGUAUAUUGCAGACAUUUGAUGUGUACAUCACCCUCACUGGCGAUAGGAUCAGCCAAAC
Long non-coding RNA from Mizuhopecten yessoensis (Yesso scallop), 3824 nucleotides. RefSeq lists it as uncharacterized. Lineage: Eukaryota; Metazoa; Mollusca; Bivalvia; Pectinida; Pectinidae. The transcript has 3 exons. The record is from RefSeq and is a predicted model, not a curated record.